RNAcentral lists this ribosomal RNA (439 nucleotides) under uncultured bacterium. Its description in RNAcentral is "bacterial SSU rRNA". It matches the Rfam family "Bacterial small subunit ribosomal RNA", at positions 29 to 515 of the family's 1533-position model. The record is from RNAcentral.
AACGAACGCUGGCGGCAGGCCUAACACAUGCAAGUCGAACGCCCCGCAAGGGGAGUGGCAGACGGGUGAGUAACACGCGGGAACGUACCCUUCGGUUCGGAAUAACUCAGGGAAACUUGAGCUAAUACCGGAUACGUCCGAGAGGAGAAAGAUUUAUCGCCGAAGGAUCGGCCCGCAUCUGAUUAGCUUGUUGGUGAGGUAACGGCUCACCAAGGCGACGAUCAGUAGCUGGUCUGAGAGGAUGAUCAGCCACAUUGGGACUGAGACACGGCCCAAACUCCUACGGGAGGCAGCAGUGGGGAAUAUUGGACAAUGGGCGAAAGCCUGAUCCAGCCAUGCCGCGUGAGUGAUGAAGGCCCUAGGGUUGUAAAGCUCUUUUACCUGGGAAGAUAAUGACUGUACCAGGAGAAUAAGCCCCGGCUAACUUCGUGCCAGCAGC